This 409-nucleotide ribosomal RNA is filed under the name uncultured bacterium. RNAcentral's name for it is "bacterial SSU rRNA". It matches the Rfam family "Bacterial small subunit ribosomal RNA", at positions 28 to 410 of the family's 1533-position model. The record is from RNAcentral.
GACGAACGCUGGCGGCGUGCUUAACACAUGCAAGUCGAGCGAGGUCCAUCCAGUGGCAACACUGGGGAAGACCUAGCGGCGAACGGGUGAGUAACACGUGAGCAACCUGCCCCGAAGACUGGGAGUAACACCGGGAAACCGGGUAGCUAAUACCGGACGUGCCCUCCUCUGGUCGCAUGGCCGUAGGAGGAAAGGACUGUAUCUAAUAAAUGCAGCUGCUUCGGGAGGGGCUCGCGGGCUAUCAGCUUGUUGGUGAGGUAACGGCUCACCAAGGCGACGACGGCUAGCUGGUCUGAGAGGACGACCAGCCACACUGGGACUGAGACACGGCCCAGACUCCUACGGGAGGCAGCAGUGGGGAAUCUUGCGCAAUGGGCGAAGCCUGACGCAGCAACGCCGCGUGGGGAUG